Molecule: ribosomal RNA, 1008 nt
Filed under: Staphylococcus aureus
Lineage: Bacteria; Bacillati; Bacillota; Bacilli; Caryophanales; Staphylococcaceae
Description: partial 23S ribosomal RNA
Rfam family: Bacterial large subunit ribosomal RNA
Source: RNAcentral
GACCAUCUCCUAAGGCUAAAUACUCUCUAGUGACCGAUAGUGAACCAGUACCGUGAGGGAAAGGUGAAAAGCACCCCGGAAGGGGAGUGAAAUAGAACCUGAAACCGUGUGCUUACAAGUAGUCAGAGCCCGUUAAUGGGUGAUGGCGUGCCUUUUGUAGAAUGAACCGGCGAGUUACGAUUUGAUGCAAGGUUAAGCAGUAAAUGUGGAGCCGUAGCGAAAGCGAGUCUGAAUAGGGCGUUUAGUAUUUGGUCGUAGACCCGAAACCAGGUGAUCUACCCUUGGUCAGGUUGAAGUUCAGGUAACACUGAAUGGAGGACCGAACCGACUUACGUUGAAAAGUGAGCGGAUGAACUGAGGGUAGCGGAGAAAUUCCAAUCGAACCUGGAGAUAGCUGGUUCUCUCCGAAAUAGCUUUAGGGCUAGCCUCAAGUGAUGAUUAUUGGAGGUAGAGCACUGUUUGGACGAGGGGCCCCUCUCGGGUUACCGAAUUCAGACAAACUCCGAAUGCCAAUUAAUUUAACUUGGGAGUCAGAACAUGGGUGAUAAGGUCCGUGUUCGAAAGGGAAACAGCCCAGACCACCAGCUAAGGUCCCAAAAUAUAUGUUAAGUGGAAAAGGAUGUGGCGUUGCCCAGACAACUAGGAUGUUGGCUUAGAAGCAGCCAUCAUUUAAAGAGUGCGUAAUAGCUCACUAGUCGAGUGACACUGCGCCGAAAAUGUACCGGGGCUAAACAUAUUACCGAAGCUGUGGAUUGUCCUUUGGACAAUGGUAGGAGAGCGUUCUAAGGGCGUUGAAGCAUGAUCGUAAGAACAUGUGGAGCGCUUAGAAGUGAGAAUGCCGGUGUGAGUAGCGAAAGACGGGUGAGAAUCCCGUCCACCGAUUGACUAAGGUUUCCAGAGGAAGGCUCGUCCGCUCUGGGUUAGUCGGGUCCUAAGCUGAGGCCGACAGGCGUAGGCGAUGGAUAACAGGUUGAUAUUCCUGUACCACCUAUAAUCGUUUUAAUCGAU